RNAcentral lists this ribosomal RNA (1531 nucleotides) under Babesia rodhaini. RNAcentral describes it as "bacterial SSU rRNA". It matches the Rfam family "Bacterial small subunit ribosomal RNA". Lineage: Eukaryota; Apicomplexa; Aconoidasida; Piroplasmida; Babesiidae. The record is from RNAcentral.
UAUAAAUCUAAGUUUGAUCCUGGCUUAGAUUUAACGCUAAAGACAUACAUAUAAAAUGCUUGCUAAUUAAGUAUAUAUAAUUAAUAAUAAUAUACUAGUGUACAGGUGAGUAAUAAAUAUAAUUAUAAUAAUUAAAUUAAUAGAAUUAUAAAUUCUAAAUAAAUUUUUUAUAAAUUAAUAUAACUAAAGUUAUUUGUUUAAUUUUAAUUAUAUUUUCUAUUAACUACUUAAUAUAUAAAAAUAUAUAAAGUCAAUAUAGAUAGCUGGCUUGAGAGAGUGACCAGCCACAUUGGACCUGAAAUAAUGUCCAAACUUUUUAGAAAGUUAGCGGCAGGGAAUUUUUUGCAAUUAGCGAAAGCUAGACAAAGUAAUGUCUUGUGAAGGGAGUAAAAACCAUAAACUUCUAUUAUUCUAUUUAUACUAAAAGAAGAUUAGAUUAAAAUAUCGGCUAACUCUGUGCCAGCAGCCGCGGUAAUACAGAGGAUAUGAGCGUUAAUCGAAAUUACUGGGCAUAAAGCAUUAAAAGGUUGUUUUAUAAAUUAAAAAUAAAAAUUAAAAGCUUAACUUUUAAAAUUUUUAAUAAUAAUAUAAAACUAAAGAUAGUAUAAUUAGUUUAAAGAAUUUCUUGAGUAGUAGUGAAAUGCUUGAAUACAAGAAAGAAUACCAUAAUAGUGAAAAUAUUAAACUAUAACUAUCUUAAAACUAAAAUAAUGAAAGCUAUGGGGAGCAAAUGGGAUUAGAUACCCCAGUAGUCCUAGCUGUAAAUUAUGGGUAUUAAAUAUAAGAAUAUCAUUUAAUUAUAUUUUUAUAUUAAAGUAAAUACGUUAAAUACCCCGCCUGAAUAGUACGUUCGCUAGAAUUAAAUUCAAAGGAACUGACGGGAACUCAUAUUAGCGGUGGGUCAUGUGAUUUAAUUCGAUGAAGACCGUAAGAUCUUACCAAAAUUUAACAUAUUUGAUUAAUAUAUAUUAAUGUAUAUAUAUAAACUAAUAUAGGUGGUGCAUGGUUGUCUGCAGCUGGUGCUUUGAGGUAUCAAAUUAAUUUUUGUAACCGGCGAAACCCUUUUUAUUUUAAAAAAAAAUAAUAAGAAUUAUAUUUUAUAAUAUAACAGGAAGAGAAGGAUUAAGUCAAAUCAUUAUGCCCCUUAUAUUUUGGGCUACUCGCGUGACACAAUAAGUAAUACAAUAAUUUAUAAAAUAUUAAAUCUAGAGAUAGAUUCUUAUUUAUUUUUUUUAUAAUAAAAUAACACUAUGUUUUUUUUUAAAUUACAUUUUUAUUAUAAAAUAUAAUACAAAAUUACUUUAAGUACGGAUUAUUGAUUGAAAUUUCAAUAUUAAAAAUUAAGGAGGAACCGCUAGUAAUCGUUGGUAAGUUAAACAACGGUGAAUAAAAUAUUUGAGUUUUGUACACACCGCCCGUCGUGCUCAUAAAAAUAUAUCAUAAUAAGUCGUAUUAAGUAUGGUGAAAUAUCGGUAUAUUAAUGUGAGCGAAGUCGUAACAAGGUAGCCGUACUGGAAAGUGCGGCUAGAUA